RNAcentral lists this ribosomal RNA (417 nucleotides) under uncultured bacterium. RNAcentral's name for it is "bacterial SSU rRNA". It matches the Rfam family "Bacterial small subunit ribosomal RNA", at positions 359 to 776 of the family's 1533-position model. The record is from RNAcentral.
GAAUAUUGCGCAAUGGGCGAAAGCCUGACGCAGCGACGCCGCGUGGGGGAUGAAGGUCUUCGGAUUGUAAACCCCUUUCGGGAGGGAUGAUGGGAUGGGGUAACCCAUUCGGACGGUACCUCCAGAAGCAGCCACGGCUAACUUCGUGCCAGCAGCCGCGGUAAUACGAAGGUGGCAAGCGUUGUUCGGAUUCACUGGGCGUACAGGGAGCGUAGGCGGUUGGGUAAGCCCUCCGUGAAAUCUCCGGGCCUAACCCGGAAAGUGCAGAGGGGACUGCUCGGCUAGAGGAUGGGAGAGGAGCGCGGAAUUCCCGGUGUAGCGGUGAAAUGCGUAGAGACCGGGAGGAAGGCCGGUGGCGAAGGCGGCGCUCUGGAACAUUUCUGACGCUGAGGCUCGAAAGCGUGGGGAGCAGACAGG